AGGAUUUUAAGGUCGAGGAAAAUAAUGAGGGAGGAGAUAAAGGACAACAUGAAGACCCGGAUGAGGUGUUUGAUGGCCUGGUGGACAAACAGCCGAUGCCCGGGUCUGUUUUGAAGGAUACUGUAAUGGAGGAUUCUUCAUCUAAUGGUAGUGGGAAUCAGCAAAGUGAUCAAAAGAUCGCAGAGUCUGAUCAAUUUGUUGUGGAGGACGCUCUGAAUUCAACAGUCUCGGUUGGGCCUGUGGAUGGAAAUGCAGAAAAGAUUGGGCUUAUCUUUGAUUGUCCUUUUUCCCAGCCUGAGGGCGUCAUGGCUGUCAAUGAUAGCCUGUCGGAGGACUAUGGCGCUGGCAUUUUUUCUCCGGGCGCUUUGACUGAGAAAGCUAGCGUGCAGGAGACAAGAGGGACAGGGCGUUUGACAAAUGCACAUCUGUGCUGCGGCAUGGU
RNAcentral lists this unclassified non-coding RNA (442 nucleotides) under Zea mays. Its description in RNAcentral is "misc RNA Zm00001eb176560". Lineage: Eukaryota; Viridiplantae; Streptophyta; Magnoliopsida; Poales; Poaceae. The record is from RNAcentral.